UACGUAGGGCGCAAGCGUUGUCCGGAAUUAUUGGGCGUAAAGAGCUCGUAGGCGGCCUGUUGCGUCCGCUGUGAAAUCCCGGGGCUUAACCCCGGGCCUGCAGUGGAUACGGGCAGGCUGGAGGCAGGCAGGGGAGAACGGAAUUCCCGGUGUAGAGGUGAAAUUCGUAGAUAUUCGCAAGAAACACCGGUGGCAAAGGCGGCCAAACUGGACCGGUACUGACGCUGAUGCGCGAAAGCGUGGGGAGCAAACGGG
This 255-nucleotide ribosomal RNA is filed under the name uncultured bacterium. RNAcentral's name for it is "partial 16S ribosomal RNA". It matches the Rfam family "Bacterial small subunit ribosomal RNA", at positions 524 to 776 of the family's 1533-position model. The record is from RNAcentral.